AACACCGACAAACGGCCUGGGGGGAGAUCCACGCACACACUGGAGGAGAAAAAUAUUCCAUACAUCGGCUUUCUGUACUGCCACCUUCAAAAAGGAAGCACAACUCGGGAAUUCUGAGUAGCAUCUCCUCUGGAUGGCUGGACUGAGCUGAGGCUUCAGCAGAAACUUGAAGCUGAGACUCCUUAAACAAGAAAUUUCUUCUGGGGUCUGACUUUACAGGCCAUCCCUGCAUUUCCAGCACAGGAGGGCAACAGAGACAGAGCCACCUCCAUCACAUCCUGAGUUCAGUGAGGAUGAGCAACAGAGGGCAUGGGCAUCCUUCCAUCUGCUUCUCCUCUGGAGCAGAGAUAUAUCCAGAAUGGUGCAACUCUGCAAUCUUUCUCUCCUUCUGGGAUGGUUUCAAUGGUAAGAUUUACAGCCUAAAAGAUAUCACUGAAGUCAUGGCAGUAAGAGGGGCAGCUACAACAGGAAGGAGGAGGAACAGGAGUAUUUUACUGAGUCCAAGCCUUGCAGAUGGUGAAAACAAGAAGCAAAAGCCAUGCUCACAGUUAAAGCUAAUGAAAAUCUGCA
This is a long non-coding RNA of Melospiza melodia melodia, 570 nucleotides long. RefSeq lists it as uncharacterized. The transcript has 3 exons. The record is from RefSeq and is a predicted model, not a curated record. NCBI's taxonomy places the organism in Eukaryota, Metazoa, Chordata, Aves, Passeriformes, Passerellidae.